Molecule: small nuclear RNA, 199 nt
Filed under: Myotis brandtii (Brandt's bat)
Lineage: Eukaryota; Metazoa; Chordata; Mammalia; Chiroptera; Vespertilionidae
Description: U2 spliceosomal RNA
Rfam family: U2 spliceosomal RNA
About the family: U2 is a small nuclear RNA (snRNA) component of the spliceosome (involved in pre-mRNA splicing). Complementary binding between U2 snRNA (in an area lying towards the 5' end but 3' to hairpin I) and the branchpoint sequence (BPS) of the intron results the bulging out of an unpaired adenosine, on the BPS, which initiates a nucleophilic attack at the intronic 5' splice site, thus starting the first of two transesterification reactions that mediate splicing.
Source: Rfam by way of RNAcentral
UUUGCUUUUCAGCCUUUUGGCUAAGAUGAAGUAUAGUACCUGUUCCUAUCAGUGUAAUAUCUGAUACGUUCACUACUUGAAGAUGACAUGUUAGACAUAUUACAUGCAUUUUUGGAGUAGGAGGUGGAAUAGGAGUUUGCUCAGUCCAUUCCUCGCAUUGACCCGGUAUUGUAGUAUUUUGGGGAAUGGUGCACCCCCU